UCCCAUUUUAGAUAUUUAGCAAAUUUUAGACCAAUAAAAAAUUUGGGGAAGAACAUUCUGUAAAAUAAAAAGUUGACACAAUAAUUUUUAUCUGAAAGCGGAGAAAACGUGACACUAUUAUAGGGUUAAGUUUUGUUAAUUAAAAAUAAUAAUGAAGCCAUACAACACAUAAAUAGUUAAUUACUCCAUUUAAGAAGUACUGUACUAUUAUAUAAUCGAUCGACGAACAUAGUGAGUAGAAAUCAAAUUGCCAGAAUGAUUAGUUACGAGAAUUUUUUUAUAUUUUAUAGACUCAUAUUUGUGGUAAUUUAAUUAAGAUUUGUUUUAUUCUAGUAUAUAUUUUAAUUUGAAAAAAAAGAAUUAAAUUUGUUUGAGAAAUUGAGAUACUGUUUUAAACGAUUCGAGAAUGAACUGAAAGAACCUACAUAGUAAGCCAGAAUCAGAACUAGUAUCACACAAACUGCGGCUUCUCUGUAUACAAGAGGUGAUGGAAGGAGGAGAGAGAAGAGUAAAGCUGUAUUACCCAAAGCAAUCCAAAUAGUUGCAGUGGAUGACCAGAAACUGGACCUCGGGUCCAUAGCCCGCGAGCUCAACGCCUACUUCAUCGCUACAUCCCCCGAUCACAUCGCUUCUUCUCUCACCUGGAACUCUCUCAUUCGCUUCUUCACCGCUCGUGGCCCCUCUCCUCGUUCACGGCAAGAUUUGCUCCUAAGAUCCCACCAAGUUGAAGAUGCUGCAGAUGUCACCAGAGACACAGGCUGCUUUAGAGAUAGUAAAAGGCACCAUUGCAGCAGUAGUAGCAAUCCAGGUAAUCUCAACAAAUCUAGUGGGUUGUGUCUGAAGAGAGAGUGGGGGUUGGAAGACGAAAGUCAUGUGAAGAGAGCAAGCUCGGAUGAAGGCCGGUUUUCGUGCAGUUUUAACAGCAGAAACUUGAAACGAAUGCUAAUUGAUGAGAUCGUUGCUGCUCCACCUUUUAAGAAACUAAGAUAAGUAGAACCUGAAAAAUGCCAAUUGUUUGCUUCUGUUGUAAAAUGAUGCGUGUGAAAGAGAGAGAGUGUGCGUGCUAUGAAACUAUCAUCUUUUGAUAUAUGACAAUCAAUAUAUGGUACUGGAAUAUGGUAAA
This is a long non-coding RNA of Salvia splendens (bonfire salvia), 1123 nucleotides long. RefSeq lists it as uncharacterized. Lineage: Eukaryota; Viridiplantae; Streptophyta; Magnoliopsida; Lamiales; Lamiaceae. The transcript is spliced from 2 exons. The record is from RefSeq and is a predicted model, not a curated record.